RNAcentral lists this ribosomal RNA (301 nucleotides) under uncultured bacterium. Its description in RNAcentral is "partial 16S ribosomal RNA". It matches the Rfam family "Bacterial small subunit ribosomal RNA", at positions 509 to 807 of the family's 1533-position model. The record is from RNAcentral.
CAGUCGCCACGGUAAUACGAAGGGUGCAAGCGUUAAUCGGAAUUACUGGGCGUAAAGCGUGCGUAGGCGGUGAGUUAAGUCUGCUGUGAAAUCCCCGGGCUCAACCUGGGAAUGGCAGUGGAUACUGGCUCGCUAGAGUGUGGUAGAGGAUAGUGGAAUUUCCGGUGUAGCAGUGAAAUGCGUAGAGAUCGGAAGGAACAUCUGUGGCGAAGGCGACUAUCUGGGACAACACUGACGCUCAUGCACGAAAGCGUGGGGAGCAAACAGGAUUAGAUACCCCCGUAGUCCCUGUCUCUUAUAC